Molecule: ribosomal RNA, 301 nt
Filed under: uncultured bacterium
Lineage: Bacteria
Description: partial 16S ribosomal RNA
Rfam family: Bacterial small subunit ribosomal RNA
Source: RNAcentral
CAGCAGCCGCGGGAAAACGUAGGUGGCAAGCGUUGUCCGGAAUUAUUGGGCGUAGAGCGCGCGCAGGCGGAUAGGUCAGUCUGUCUUAAAAGUUCGGGGCUCAACCCCGUGAUGGGAUGGAAACUAGUAGGCUAGAGUAUCGGAGAGGAAAGCGGAAUUCCUAGUGUAGCGGUGAAAUGCGUAGAUAUUAGGAAGAACACCAGUGGCGAAGGCGGCUUUCUGGACGAAAACUGACGCUGAGGCGCGAAAGCCAGGGGAGCGAACGGGAUUAGAUACCCCAGUAGUCCCUGUCUCUUAUACA